GGAGAGAUGCAGGAGUCUGGUUGAACUGGCAUGAUUGGAAAUCAUGUGUGCUGUUGUGCAGUACCGUGGGUUCGAAUCCCACUCUCUCCG
This 90-nucleotide transfer RNA is filed under the name Candidatus Poribacteria bacterium. RNAcentral's name for it is "tRNA-Ser". It matches the Rfam family "tRNA". From Rfam's summary of the family: Transfer RNA (tRNA) molecules are approximately 80 nucleotides in length. Their secondary structure includes four short double-helical elements and three loops (D, anti-codon, and T loops). Lineage: Bacteria; Candidatus Poribacteria. The record is from RNAcentral.